This 588-nucleotide ribosomal RNA is filed under the name uncultured bacterium. Its description in RNAcentral is "bacterial SSU rRNA". It matches the Rfam family "Bacterial small subunit ribosomal RNA", at positions 338 to 916 of the family's 1533-position model. The record is from RNAcentral.
CCUACGGGAGGCAGCAGUGGGGAAUUUUGGACAAUGGGCGAAAGCCUGAUCCAGCAAUGCCGCGUGAGUGAAGAAGGCCUUCGGGUUGUAAAGCUCUUUUGUCAGGGAAGAAACGGUGAGAGCUAAUAUCUCUUGCUAAUGACGGUACCUGAAGAAUAAGCACCGGCUAACUACGUGCCAGCAGCCGCGGUAAUACGUAGGGUGCAAGCGUUAAUCGGAAUUACUGGGCGUAAAGCGUGCGCAGGCGGUUUUGUAAGUCUGAUGUGAAAUCCCCGGGCUCAACCUGGGAAUUGCAUUGGAGACUGCAAGGCUAGAAUCUGGCAGAGGGGGGUAGAAUUCCACGUGUAGCAGUGAAAUGCGUAGAUAUGUGGAGGAACACCGAUGGCGAAGGCAGCCCCCUGGGUCAAGAUUGACGCUCAUGCACGAAAGCGUGGGGAGCAAACAGGAUUAGAUACCCUGGUAGUCCACGCCCUAAACGAUGUCUACUAGUUGUCGGGUCUUAAUUGACUUGGUAACGCAGCAACGCGUGAAGUAGACCGCCUGGGGAGUACGGUCGCGAAGAUUAAAACGUCAAAAUGAAAUUGACGG